Molecule: ribosomal RNA, 454 nt
Filed under: uncultured bacterium
Lineage: Bacteria
Description: partial 16S ribosomal RNA
Rfam family: Bacterial small subunit ribosomal RNA
Source: RNAcentral
GAUGAACGCUGACAGAAUGCUUAACACAUGCAAGUCUACUUGAACUUCGGUUUGGGUGGCGGACGGGUGAGUAACGCGUACAGAACUUACCUCACAGUUAGGGACAACAUUUGGAAACGAAUGCUAAUACCUGAUAUUAUGAUUUUAGGGCAUCCUAAGAUUAUGAAAGCUAUAUGCGCUGUGAGAGAGCUUUGCGUCCCAUUAGCUAGUUGGAGAGGUAACGGCUCACCAAGGCGAUGAUGGGUAGCCGGCCUGAGAGGGUGAACGGCCACAAGGGGACUGAGACACGGCCCUUACUCCUACGGGAGGCAGCAGUGGGGAAUAUUGGACAAUGGACCAAAAGUCUGAUCCAGCAAUUCUGUGUGCACGAUGACGUUUUUCGGAAUGUAAAGUGCUUUCAGUUGGGAAGAAAAAAAUGACGGUACCAACAGAAGAAGUGACGGCUAAAUACGUG